RNAcentral lists this ribosomal RNA (378 nucleotides) under uncultured bacterium. RNAcentral's name for it is "bacterial SSU rRNA". It matches the Rfam family "Bacterial small subunit ribosomal RNA", at positions 790 to 1167 of the family's 1533-position model. The record is from RNAcentral.
GUAGUCCUUGCCGUAAACGAUGUAUACUUGGUGUAGUUGGAUUCAACCCUAACUGUGCCGUAGCUAACGCGUUAAGUAUACCGCCUGGGAAGUACAGUCGCAAGGCUGAAACUCAAAAGAAUUGACGGGGACCCGCACAAGCAGUGGAGCAUGUGGUUUAAUUCGAUGCAACGCGAAGAACCUUACCCAGGCUUGACAUGCAGAUGACCGCUCUAGAAAUAGAGCUUUCCUUCGGGACAUCUGCACAGGUGCUGCAUGGCUGUCGUCAGCUCGUGCCGUGAGGUGUUGGGUUAAGUCCCGCAACGAGCGCAACCCUUAUCAUUAGUUGCCAACAGGUGAAGCUGGGAACUCUAAUGAGACUGCCUGGGUUAACCAGGA